GGGGUUGUAGCUCAGUUGGUAGAGCGUUUGCCUAGCAUGUGUGAGGUACUGAGUUCGUUCCUCAGGACCUCG
Molecule: transfer RNA, 72 nt
Filed under: Marmota marmota marmota (Alpine marmot)
Lineage: Eukaryota; Metazoa; Chordata; Mammalia; Rodentia; Sciuridae
Also listed under: 1 other name
Rfam family: tRNA
About the family: Transfer RNA (tRNA) molecules are approximately 80 nucleotides in length. Their secondary structure includes four short double-helical elements and three loops (D, anti-codon, and T loops). Further hydrogen bonds mediate the characteristic L-shaped molecular structure. tRNAs have two regions of fundamental functional importance: the anti-codon, which is responsible for specific mRNA codon recognition, and the 3' end, to which the tRNAs corresponding amino acid is attached (by aminoacyl-tRNA synthetases). tRNAs cope with the degeneracy of the genetic code in two manners: having more than one tRNA (with a specific anti-codon) for a particular amino acid; and 'wobble' base-pairing, i.e. permitting non-standard base-pairing at the 3rd anti-codon position.
Source: Rfam by way of RNAcentral